This is a long non-coding RNA of Mirounga angustirostris (Northern elephant seal), 5926 nucleotides long. RefSeq lists it as uncharacterized. The transcript is spliced from 22 exons. NCBI's taxonomy places the organism in Eukaryota, Metazoa, Chordata, Mammalia, Carnivora, Phocidae. The record is from RefSeq and is a predicted model, not a curated record.
UCAUCAUUUUAGUGCUAGCCCACAGUUUUCAUGGUUUUGAAUUCUACCAGUCUUGCAUGUAUUAAAUAUUUAAUCUAUGAAUAUCUUGUUUCUUGGUUAAAUGGUGUUCCAUUGCAUGUGUGCCAGCUAACAAAUAUAUGGGCCUAAUCCAUGAGAGUGUGCAGUGAAUACGUGUCUGUCCCAGGCUGUUUUCAAUUUUAUAUGUGUACCUUUAAUUUAUUUUUUAUUUUACCUACAGGAAAACUCACUCUUUGUCACAUGCAGUUAUAUGGUUAUUGACAAGUGUAUAGAAUAGUAUAUCUAACACGACAAUUAUGAUAUGGAGGAGUUCCAUUACCCCUAAAAAUCUUCUUUAUUUUAUUCCUUUGUAGUCAACCCUUCAUUCUACUCCAUAAUCUCUUGUGACCACUGUUUUUUAUAGUUUUGUGUUUAACAAAGUGUCAUUUAAAUGGAAUCAAACACUACAUAACCUCUGAGGUCCAGCUCCUUGUACCUACUAGCACUUUGAGUUCCCCAGUUCACUUGCAAGCAUUUAUCCUUUAAGACCUAUGCUAGCCAAUCCAUGAACUCUAGGAUUAUUAAUUGCAUUCUGUUUUGAAUAAAGAUUGGCCAUGCUUAUUCUAUUUUAGUCCUCUUAGGACUUGCUCUCCUGAUGUUCUUUUCCAUUUGGUUCUAUUUUAUAAUUUCCAUUAUCUUAUGAAAAUUUUGAUCUUUUUAAAUUUUUUUUUUUAAUUUUUAUUUAAUUAUUUUUAAAAAUUUAUUUAUUUAUUUAUUUGACAGAGACAGAGAGAGCAGGAACACAAGCAGGGGGAGUGGGAGAGGGAGAAGCAGGACUCCCGCCAAGCAGAGAGCCCGAUGUGGGGCUCAAUUCCAGGACCCUGGGAUCAUGACCUGAGCUGAAGGCAGACACUUAACGACUGAGCCACCCAGGCACCCCUCAUCUUUUUUUUUUUUUAAUUCAUACCAUUAUUCCAUCAGUUUUUAUAUGUUGUAAUAAGUUUUUGAAGUUCUUAUCUCUUACUUCCAGAAUAUAAGUCUUACAACAAACAACCUUGUCAUAUGCCCUUCAUUUUACCCAUCAAAAAGCAUUUUCAUAAAGUCUUUAUUUGGUAGAAUACAACGUUAGAAUUUCUCAUUCAAAAAGAAAAUCGCUGUGCCACCAAUUUACACAGCAUUUUAGAGAGGAUUAUUGACUAUUUGUAGAGUGAAUAAUUCAGAGAGGAAAUAAGUGGAGAAAUGAACUGGCAAAGAUAGCUAAGAACCAAGCAGCUAUGAUAUGUGUAGCAAGGACUAGAAGUGUGGGGAUUCCUCUAUGAUAAUCACUACAGAACAAAUGAUUUGCUUUAUUUUUAAAUUAAUUUCAUGUAUUUUUGGAUCUAACUUAUAUUAUCUGUGAUGUUUUGCUGCAGGACAAAGACUGAACAAGUAACAUACUUUAGGGAAGAGAGAUGAGCAGCUAUUCUGAUGCUUUUAAAAUUCUUUGUGUGUUGUCACGUUCUCUGGGUUCAUUAUUUCAGAAGCCCAAGACGGGAUGGAAUGAAGUCCUCCACUUCAGAGAAGAGCAAGAGCAAGAGAAAGAGCACAAGCAGGGGGAGCAGCAGAGGGAGAGAGAGAAGCAGGCUCCUCGCUGAGCAGGGAGCCUGACGCGGGGCUCGAUCCCAGGACCCUGAGAUCAUGACCUGAGCCGAAGGCAGAUGCCUAACUGACUGAACCACCCAUGCAGCCCCAUUAUGUGUCAUUUUCUUUGGUUCGGUGUCCACGACGGGCUCGCUGUUGGCCCAGAGAAGGGUUUCCUGUGCUUGGAUGCACGGAGGUUGGGCGGAUGGCCGGAAGAAGUCUUGUGCAGCCCAGGGUGAGCACCCUGCGGAUGCAACGCAAAGACAGUAAGCCUUCCAUCAUCUCAGGCGGAGACGUUGGCUGUAGGAUUUCCUUCGCCCACCUGAGAGCCUGCCAAUCCGCGUGUGCCUGAUGACGUGCGGGGUCUGGCUUCAAGAGAGGAUGGAGCGUUCCUCUUGCUCAGUGGCUUGGAUCUGGACGGUCGAGGCUGCUGGAGGGCACUGAGGCCAUCAGCUCAAACCUCUGAGCCAGGCCCAGCUGGCCUUCUUCGAUGUGCCAGGAGGCCCCGAAUGUGCUCGGAUCGAUGAUGACUCCCUCAUUGUGCAUUCCUUGGAAAAGCUGAACAAAAUGAGUGAGAACUCCCUACCGUCGUUCUCAUCGAAACUGAGGUCCAGCACGUUGUCUCCCCAGGGAAGGUUCGGUGUCCACGCUGGGCUCGCUGUUGGCCCAGAAAAGAAGGCUUUCCUGUCCUUGGAUGUGCGGAGGUUGGCCGGCUGGCCAUAAGAAGUGUUGUCCAGCCCAGGGUGGUCACCCUGCGGAUGCAUCGCUAAGACGGUUCGGUGUCCACGCCAGGCUCGCUGUUGGCCCAGAGAAGAAGGCUUUCCUGUCCUUGGAUGCAUGGAGCUUGGCCGGCUGGCCGGAAGAAGUGUUGUCCAGCCCAGGGUGGGCGCUCUGUGGAUGCAUCGCUAAGAUGGUUCGGUGUCCACGCUGGGCUCGCUGUUGGCCCAGAAAAGAAGGCUUUCCUGUCUUUGGAUGUGCGGAGGUUGGCCGGCUGGCCGGAAGAAGUGUUGUCCAGCCCAGGGUGGGCACCCUGCAAAUGCAUUGUUAAGACGGUUCGGUGUCCACACUGAGCUCGCUGUUGGCCCAGAGAAAAAGGCUUUCCUGUCAAUGGAUGCGCGGAGGUUGGCCGGCUGGCCGUAAGAAGUGUUGUCCAGCCGAGGGUGGGCACCCUGCUGAUGCAUCGCUAAGACGGUUCGGUGUCCAUGCCAGGCUCGCUGUUGGUCCAGAGAAGACGGCUUUCCUGUCCUUGGAUGCGCGGAGGUUGGCCGGCUGGCCGUAAGAAGUGUUGUCCAGCCGAGGGUGGGCACCCUGCGGAUGCAUCGCUAAGACGGUGGAGGUGGCUGGACUUGGGUGUCCGUGAGCAUUGGCGAGUCCCAUUCAGUUUCAUCGGUGAUGCCCGGUCUGCAUGGCGAAGACAGCCUGGGAGAGUAGCGCUGUGUGGUCUGCGGUCACGUGGGAGCUGCCAGCAUAAGCGGCGGAGUUGGCUGGACGCAGGUGUCUGUGAGCAUGGGUGAGUCCCAUUCUGCCUCAUCGGUGAUGCCCAGUCUCCAUGGCGAAGACAGCCCGGGAGAGUAGUGCUGUGUGGUCUGCGGUCACCUGGGAGCUUCCGGCAUAAGCGGUGGAGUUGACUGGACGUGGGCGUCCGUGAGCAUGGGUGAGUCCCAUUCUGCCUCAUCCGCGAUGGCCGGUCUGCAUGGCGAAGAUGGCCGGGGAGAGUAGCGCUGUGUGGUCUGCAGUCACGUGGGAGUUGCCGGCAUAAGCGAAAUGACCAGAACACUGAUUUCCAAAGGUGACGUGUUAUACACAAACAACGAAUCAUGGAACACUACAUCAAAAACUAAUGAUGUACUGGGUGAGAGGAGCAAAAUGGCGGAGGAGUAGGAAACCUGGAUUUCAUCUGUUCCCAGGAAUUCAGCUGGUUAGGGGUCAAACCAUUCUAAACACUUACGAACUCAAAAGGAGAUCGAAGAAAAGAAUAGCAACAACUCUCUGAACAGAAAAGCGACCACUUUCUGGAAGCUCAGUGUAAACUAAAACCUUGGUUUCAUAUGAAUAAAAAAAUUAUCCCUUCCUCUUGAAAUGUGACAAGGAAGAAAAUAUUGGGAAUAAUUCUACCAUCUCAUCCUCAAGAGCCAGUAGGAAUUCUACCAUCAGAAUGACAUGGCAACUCUUUUGAGUGCUUGGCUGGCAGCCUCCACACAUUCAUAGUAACCAGACCCUGGAGAACCAGCAUGUGAGGAGAGAGACCAGUGGUAAAUGGUUAUGCCUACCUUUGAGCCAUUCACACAUUUUUCUUACAUGCCAAAAUCUUUAGAGUGAGGAGCAAUUGACUGAGAUCGACUAGGUAAUCAAGAUUUUAAGUGAUAUUGGAAUUGGAUGAAAUUUCUACCACUGCUCCAAUGAACUACUGAUUUUGUCAUUGUUACCAGUUCUCUUCUAUGGGAAUAAUCAGAACAGUGCACUCCAGAGACAUGAAAUGAAGGAAAGUUUUGGGAAGAAUUCUGCAUCCUAUCCUCAAGGGCCAGUGGGAAUUUUCAUGCUGGAUUUUUGACUUCUCUCUUUGAAUAAUAACAGAAACAUCCUAAUAAAGUAAUAUGAGUUCACUUGAUAUGAAGGUUGGAAGUAAGAUCACAGUUGCAUGGAAUUCUUGCCACUUCACCAAAGAAUACCUGAUUUUGUCACUUUUACCAACUCCCUUACCUGAGAAGAAACAAUGAUGCACUCUCAAGGUAAUGAUGGAUCCUAGAAAGGAAGAGAAACUCUCUAUGCCUUUGCCUUUCUUGAAUGCCAUCUCCAGAGAGUGAAAUGACAAAUUAAUUUUAAGUCGGUGGUUCUCCAUUGCUACUUGUGGUCUUCUGGACCCUUGCAGAAGAUUACUUCUUGGGAACUCUUGGGAGUGAAUGAUACCAGUAAAUCCCUGAAACAAGACUCUUCAGACAAGAAGGCUAUGGUCCAAGGGCUGUGCUUUGAAGGUGGUGACCACAAAUGUGAGGUGGAUUUGUUACUGAGGGUGCCAUUACUUCUACCACCAGCUUCACCAAAACAAUGACACACUCUUCUUUAUGCUUGGCGAUUCCUCUCUUUCCUGUGUUGCAGUGGACACCUCCCGCAGAUAAGAAAUGCUUAACUGAGAAAUGCUCAUGUUGGGAUAUCAUCGAUGAGACUUUAAUUUGGGCAUGGUGACUGUUUCCCUUGCUGCCACUUGACUCAAUCCCAGGAGCCUCAGUAGAGGAUAUAUUAUUGCACAAGAAACUCAAAAUGGUGGAAUUGCUCAGUGCUCCCAUAAAUAUACAUUUAUAAUUUCCAUUUGCCAUAUGGUAAAAAUUUUAAAUAGGAUAUAUUAAAACGAAACUGCACAGUUUUUUUCAAAAAUUCAAAGCGUAUUUAAAUAUCUAAUAUAUAAAUUAAGUGCCCUCCUCUCUCCCAAUUCUCUCCCCCAGUGUUUUCUUCUCUUAAGAGAGUUGUGUGCAUUCUUUAAGUGGAUAGAUGCACACACACAGACACACAUACACACGAACUAUUUUGGGGGGGUUCUGGAAGUGGGGCCAUAUUGUACACAUUCUUCUGCAAAUUGCCUUUCAUUUUACAGUUUUUAAUACCCUUUUCUAUUUCAAUAAUAUACAUCUGUGUCAUUUGUUGAAUGACUGCACGACUGUUUUGUAGAUGAAAUACAAUUAAAUGUUAUAAGCAUUUCUCAUCCAUAGAUAUUUGUUAGCACAAAAUUUCUGUGCAAUGAACCUCCCUAUCAACAAUUUUGCAUUUGUCUAUUAUAUCAUUAUAAAUUACUUAGCAGUUGAAAUACUGGGAUUAAGGAUAUGCACAUUUCAAAUUAUUACAAGAUUUCCUUAAAAUGUGGUAACAACUUUAUCUUCAAAUGGCAAUGAAUGAGAUUGCCAGCUUUCCCACAACUUCACAGAUAAUGGAUUUUAUAAAUAUUUACAUUUUUAGCAAAUGUGAUAGCCCAAACUAUUGUCUUAAAUUGUAUUUCUUUUGCUUUUGAGUUUGAUCAUUUUUUUCAUAUUAGCCAUCUGUAUUCUUUAAUUUCCUCUUUCUGUCCAAUUUCGGGGGUUGGGGCUUAGUCUUCUGAUUUUGAAGAGCUCAUUUAUUAUUGGGGAAAAAAGGUUUGGAUUGUCAAGCUUUACAGAUAUUUUUUAUGCACUUUUAAACUUCAUUUUUGUUAUAAGAAUGUGUAUGAUUGUUAUAUGUCCAAGUAUAACCAUGUUUGCUUUUACGGCUUCUGAGUUUCAUGUCAUUUUGGAAAAAAAUAUUUAUACUGAUUCCAUAAAACCGUCACCUAUGUUAACUUUUA